This 82-nucleotide transfer RNA is filed under the name Candidatus Beckwithbacteria bacterium. Its description in RNAcentral is "tRNA-Leu". It matches the Rfam family "tRNA". From Rfam's summary of the family: Transfer RNA (tRNA) molecules are approximately 80 nucleotides in length. Their secondary structure includes four short double-helical elements and three loops (D, anti-codon, and T loops). Lineage: Bacteria; Candidatus Beckwithiibacteriota. The record is from RNAcentral.
GCCAGAGUGGCGAAAUUGGUAGACGCGCACGUUUCAGGUACGUGUGGAGCAAUCCUUGCAGGUUCGAUUCCUGUCUCUGGCA